UCGGAUUAAUUUAAUUAAACAUGAGCAAUGUGGUUUUUAAGGUCAAUUCCGCUGUUAUUGGUUAUUACAGUUACUUAUAAAACCAAUAUGGCUACAAAUGUUUGUAAGGUUCAACAUUGUCAUAAAAUCAGGCCUCAAGUCCAACCUUAUCAUUCUAGCAUAUACCGUCAAAGCUUCACCUUCUCUUCCAUGUUUAGCAAGAGCAUAAUCACUGAAGCCCAAAUGUGUGAAUUCAUCUUCGUAAUUGAUGUUAAGAAAAAAACUUUUAUCAAGUACUCAAGGAAGACACAAUUAGAGUAACCCCAAAUUAGAUUGUUUCUUACACACAUGUAGUAAUCUCAUGCUUUUUUGAUAUCAGAAUCAACCGUCUUCAAACUUCUAAUUUNUUUUUUUUUUUUUUUUUUUUUUUUUUUUUUUUUUUUUUUGUACAAGUGAUGAUGACAGUGUGGCGAGUAUGAGCAAAAGAAGAAGACAUGAAAGAGUUGUGGGGGUUUCGGAUUAAUUUAAUUAAACAUGAGCAAUGUGGUUUUUAAGGUCAAUUCCGCUGUUAUUGGUUAUUACAGUUACUUAUAAAACCAAUAUGGCUACAAAUGUUUGUAAGGUUCAACAUUGUCAUAAAAUCAGGCCUCAAGUCCAACCUUAUCAUUCUAGCAUAUACCGUCAAAGCUUCACCUUCUCUUCCAUGUUUAGCAAGAGCAUAAUCACUGAAGCCCAAAUGUGUGAAUUCAUCUUCGUAAUUGAUGUUAAGAAAAAAACUUUUAUCAAGUACUCAAGGAAGACACAAUUAGAGUAACCCCAAAUUAGAUUGUUUCUUACACACAUGUAGUAAUCUCAUGCUUUUUUGAUAUCAGAAUCAACCGUCUUCAAACUUCUAAUUUUACUAUUAGAGAAAUUUUUUAUAAUUGUGGUUAGUGUUUGCUCGUUGGGACAGAGAUCUCUUAGUCCUGACAAACGCAAGCUAAUCACAAUAUGAAAAUUUUCCUCGAUGAUGCAAUUAAAUGUUUUCAAGAUGGUUCAUUCUUAUGUUAUCAAAUAAUCAAAGUACGAGAUUACUACAUCUUUAUGAGAAACAAUCUAAUUAAGGGUUAUUCUAAUUGUAUCUCUUUUGAGUACGCGAUAAAAGAUUUUCAUAACAUCAAGAUUAGGAAGAUAAAUUCGUAUAGUUGGAAUUCACUGAUCAAUGCUUUUUGCUAAACAUGGAAGAGGAGCUAAAGCUUUGGCAGUAUUUGAUAGAAUAAUAAGUUUGGAUUUGAAGAACAAUUAUGUGACAAUGUUUAAUGUUAUAAGCGCGUGUAGCCAUGUUAACUUUAUAAGCCAAGACAUACAAAUUUUCAUUAUACCGACCAUGGAGUUGGCCCCAAGUAAUCAAACUUUGUUCAUAUUUAGUUGACUUAAUCACAAGACCCGACUACUUGGUGGAAGCUAAGUUAUUGAUCCCAAGUUAGCGAGGAAGACUGUCGGUAAGGACUCAUUAAAUAUAAUUUUCGCUAGGAAGAGUUUCCAACAAAAAAAAUUGAAAUGAGGGUAGAAGGACUAGAAACAAUGGUGCUUUAGGAACCACAAUUGGCCAAAUUUGAUAAUAGACAGGUACAUAUAAGUAGCUUCUUUGUUAUCUCCUUUUAUUUUCAACGUAUUUGAAAAUGUCCCCCCUUUUUAACCACUUGUAGCUGUGUUCCUGGCAUUAUUGUCAAUAGCGAUCAUAGCGAUAGCUAUAGCGAAUAAUGAGGCGAGGCGAUGCAAUGUUGCAAUG
This 1750-nucleotide long non-coding RNA is filed under the name Lactuca sativa (garden lettuce). RNAcentral's name for it is "long non-coding RNA (LSAT_LNC010194)". Lineage: Eukaryota; Viridiplantae; Streptophyta; Magnoliopsida; Asterales; Asteraceae. The record is from RNAcentral.